UGGAGGCAAGGAUAAGCCUAGCCUCCACUCCGAUCAAGCCUAUCUGCCGCGAGAAUCUAGAAGAGCAAGGACCCCAAGCUUAUCCUCUCACCCCUAGAGCUUAUCUCUUCGGAAACCUUUUCUAUAAAUUUUCUGUCUCUGAACAAUCAACCCACCUCUGAGCUCUAUCGAGCACCUCUCCUCCUCCUCCUUCCUCUUCUCCGGUGACCAAGGUGUCGCCUCAACCAAGUGUCAUAGCUGAAGCCUCUCCUUCUUCCCUCUAGACCACGGAUGGCCCCGCUUUGAGCUCCGCUACCGUUGGCCACCGAAUCGAGUCGCCCUCGGUUGAGAUCUGACACCUCCGUCGACCGCGGG
Molecule: long non-coding RNA, 354 nt
Filed under: Phoenix dactylifera (date palm)
Lineage: Eukaryota; Viridiplantae; Streptophyta; Magnoliopsida; Arecales; Arecaceae
Description: long non-coding RNA (PDAC_LNC008045)
Source: RNAcentral